GACGAACGCUGGCGGCGUGCUUAACACAUGCAAGUCGAACGGAAAGGCCCUGCUUUUGUGGGGUGCUCGAGUGGCGAACGGGUGAGUAACACGUGAGUAACCUGCCCUUGACUUUGGGAUAACUUCAGGAAACUGGGGCUAAUACCGGAUAGGAGCUCCUGCUGCAUGGUGGGGGUUGGAAAGUUUCGGCGGUUGGGGAUGGACUCGCGGCUUAUCAGCUUGUUGGUGGGGUAGUGGCUUAUCAAGGCUUUGACGGGUAGCCGGCCUGAGAGGGUGACCGGCCAAAUGGGGACUGAGGUACGGCCCAGACCCCUACGGGAGGCAACAGGGGGGAAUAUUGCAAAAUGGGGGGAAGCCUGAUGCAGCAACGCCGGGUGGGGGAUGACGGCCUUCGGGUUGUAAACCGCUUUCGCCGGUGACGAAGCGGGAGUGACGGUAAUGGGUAAAGAAGCACCGGCUAACUACGU
Molecule: ribosomal RNA, 467 nt
Filed under: uncultured bacterium
Lineage: Bacteria
Description: partial 16S ribosomal RNA
Rfam family: Bacterial small subunit ribosomal RNA
Source: RNAcentral